Trifolium pratense (red clover) is the source of this 2469-nucleotide long non-coding RNA. RefSeq lists it as uncharacterized. NCBI's taxonomy places the organism in Eukaryota, Viridiplantae, Streptophyta, Magnoliopsida, Fabales, Fabaceae. The record is from RefSeq and is a predicted model, not a curated record. The transcript has 10 exons.
AAUAACAAUUCUCUUCUUUCCUUUCCAAAGCUUGAUUUUCUCCAAUAACAAGAUCAACGUCACAGAAUGAGUAAGCAUAAAGCAUACACUAUUUUAAUGUCCUUGGAGUUGGGUUCAAUUGGAAUAAAAUAUCAAGGUUUAAACACUACUACUAACAACCCAUUCGAACAAUCCAGCCCGAUUUGUUUCCUGUUUCUGACAUCUCUAUUUUGUCAUACAGUUGCAACAAUGGCUGACAUGAACUUCUCAACUACCAGAAUCAUAUUCCACAUAUCCGGUGUUGUUGGAUGUGAGACACUUUUGUGGAUUCUCCUCCCUGUUUUCUGGAAAUGGUAUGUCUUCAACAUGUUCCUUUUAGUGGUUACCUCAUUGUGCUUCUUAAACUUCAUCAUGAUUAUGGAUAAUAUCACUAAGCUCUUCCGUGGAACACUUCGAAACCCAGAUCUGGAACCACAGGAAACUCAGCCGUAAGACUUGAUUUGAUGAAGGCAAAUUAACGACCCGUAGUUCACCAAACAUCAAGCAAUAUUGUGCAACCUGUUUUUCUCGAUCUUAUGCUGGAAUGAUUUUUUUUUUUGCAGCCUCCUUGGAACCAAUGGGGAUAUCAGCACCAUGCUUGAGAAAGCUGUCCAAUAUGUAAACUUUUUAACAGCCUCAAAUUAAGGUAUAUACAGCGUCUCUCAACAUUGGGUUCGGAAUGAUGCACCAUGUAAAGGUUGCACCAAGUUUUGUGCUGCAUUUAUAAUCAGACCAUCAUUUUGGGAUGCUUGCAGUAGAUGUGAUAUAGCCCAGACAAAAGGCCUUACGGUGUAAUGGAUUUUCAAUUACUUCCGUCAUUUUGGAAUUUCGGUAAUUUAAGAGACUGGAAUUGUCUGAAACCUACAAUUUUAGGACAACCAUUCCUUUUACCGGCUUCUCAUUCACUUUUCUGUUCAAUUUUCAUGUAUUUUUUACAAUUUGUGUUUUAUUUUCUCACAAUUUAGGGAUUUAAUAAUUGGUUUGUCAUACAUUUCGUUGCGAGGGUUUCGAAAAAUGGUAUACAUGUAUUAUUUGCGGAGUUCAGCAACCCUCAAGCAAUAUUAUGCACCUGUUUCUCUGCCUUUAAAUCCUAUAUAUUAACAAUACAAAAUCCUUCAUAGACCACUGUUGGGAGGAAAUGAAGCGCGUACCAGGCACCUUCGGAGGAUUGUUCGCUGAUGGCUUCCAAGGACGGAAAUCAUUCCUCUGUAUAUUCUCUGGCGCAUAUAUUCAUCAAUGUAGGGGCCUGAUGUCAUGGUGGGAGCUGGGGCAACUGAAACAUGGUGAUCAAAAGAAAGAAGGUAGAAUCUUUGGGAAAAAGCAUGGUGGCAAUUAAAAUACAUUCUUGAUGAUAUUUACAACUAUGGCUGACAUGAACUUCUCAGUUACUAUGCUCAUAUUCCACAUUUCUGGCAUUGUUGGAUGUGAGACACUUUUGUGGAUUCUCCUUCCUGUAUUCUGGAAAUGGUAUGUCAUCAACCAGUUCCUUUGGGUAGUUACUUCAUUUUGUUUCUUCAACACCAUCCAUAGUACCGCUAAGCUCUAACUUCCUACAAAUUCAAGUGCUGCUAAGCCUCCAAAUUUGGAACUACAGGAAGCAUCUCAGCCAAUUCAGCAACCCUCAAGCAAUAUUAUGCACCGGUUUUUCUUGUAUCCCUGGGAUGAUUUAAUUUGUUUUGCUGGUCUCCUAGCAUCCAAUGUGUUAUGCAAUGUCUCUCUACAUUAGCUAUGCUCCCAAGCUUUUGACUCAUAUAGUUACCACAUUUGGGUUCAGUAUGAUGCAUCAAUGUAAAGAUUGCACCUAGGGACUAAAUAGAAAAGAUUGAGGGACUAAUUAAGAGUCUACUCUAAACCCAGCAACAACCUUGUGCAAUGUGUGUGACCCAAUUGUGUGCUGGAGUGCAUUUAUCAUCAGACGGUCACUCUGCUAACCCCCUGUGACUGAGUUGAGUAUGCAGAUCAUAUAUGCAGUUAUUUAUUCAUUUUGAUGAAUCUGGAAGUUUGCAUAAUUUCUGUUGUUUCAUUUUGGUUUUUAGUAAAUUUUCAUGGCAAAUUCUUUUGGCUCUAAACCUUUUUUUAAUCAACUUAUGGUUCAAGUCUUGGCAAAUACGAUGGUGAUGAGGCUGCAAUGGGAAUUCAGCUGGGUUUGUUCUUCUGUCAAGCAAAUGUAAUAUGUGCAUCAUUUUUGUAAACCUGCAUCUUAGUUUAUAAUUUCUAUAAAGAAUUUUAGUUUCAACGGUUUAUAACCAAUAUCUUAUUUCUUUAGAAUAAAUGAUGUGAUUUAUGGUAUAAUUGUAUACAAUGUUAUACAUACUGGUUUAUUAGGCUGUUUUUUAGAAUAAAAAUUAGUUACUUGGGUUGAGGGGUUCUUUGUUUGUGGUUGAUUGGUUGAGUUAGGAGGAGACUCGAAUGCCCUGCAGUCGAGGACACAAACAAUCAUGCAAUGAAGAG